ACCAAACUUCAGUCGGGGGGUAUUUUAUACCCAACACCAGUUCCCCUACUUUCAAGUUCGGAUUCCGAAUGAAGAAAAUACAGAAAAAUUCUCACGGCUGAAGUUGCCCCCCUCGAUUUCCACACUUGGUGGUUGUCAGAUAUUUUGGCGCUUGGCGCGCUGGUGUCGGAGUCUUUUCAAAUCAAAGCGAUCCGAAAAGAUUUUUUCAGAAUUUUUGUUAGGGCGUGGCUCUAGGUACGGUGCAAUAAUAAUUUUGUCAGCUGUCAGUCGUUUUCAGUCGCCUGCCAUGGUGAGUGGGACAAACGGCGAGCGUAGGUCGACCAGAGAAGAUCCGCAAUCAUUAUUGCACCGGACUCUGGGGUCUAUUUAAACACGUCCUCUUUCUUCAGGGGUUUCACUUUGCCUGAGAGAAUCCCUCGAUCCCCUCCUCUUUUUCGAGAGCUCCAGCCUCCUUUAGCAUCCUUCUUGGCCUUAGGCAUCCUCCGGAUUGACUUCCAUCUUCCUGCACUCCUCGGGCCAACCUAGGUUAGUUCUGAAACUUCUUGCCAUUUUUCUGUUCUUUCUUCUUCGUAUUCUAUUCGUUUAGCUUCCUCGAGAGCUUGUUUGCUGUUUUUUCUAAUUUUUUUUUCAAAAUUUUUGUGGCUUCUAUGUGAUCCAAAAUAUCUUUCGAUAUCUCCUCUUCUAACGGUUCUAGGAGUUCGUCAGCCCCAGUUUUUCAAAGUCCUUGUACCGUAGAUGGAUCCG
RNAcentral lists this long non-coding RNA (744 nucleotides) under Elaeis guineensis (African oil palm). RNAcentral describes it as "long non-coding RNA (EGUI_LNC077173)". Lineage: Eukaryota; Viridiplantae; Streptophyta; Magnoliopsida; Arecales; Arecaceae. The record is from RNAcentral.